This 216-nucleotide ribosomal RNA is filed under the name Glomeromycotina sp. RNAcentral's name for it is "partial small subunit ribosomal RNA". The stretch from base 40 to 216 matches the Rfam family "Eukaryotic small subunit ribosomal RNA", at positions 686 to 864 of the family's 1831-position model. Lineage: Eukaryota; Fungi; Glomeromycota. The record is from RNAcentral.
GGGUCAGUAGGUUGGUCGUGCCACCGGUACGUACUGGUCUCACUGAUUCCUCCUUCCUGAAGAACCGUAAUGCCAUUAAUUUGGUGUUGCGGGGAAACAGGACUGUUACUUUGAAAAAAUUAGAGUAUUUAAAGCAAGCUAACGCUUGAAUACAUUAGCAUGGAAUAAUGAAAUAGGACGAUCGAUCCUAUUUUGUUGGUUUCUAGGAUUGACGUA